Molecule: ribosomal RNA, 425 nt
Filed under: uncultured bacterium
Lineage: Bacteria
Description: bacterial SSU rRNA
Rfam family: Bacterial small subunit ribosomal RNA
Source: RNAcentral
UAGGGAAUAUUGGACAAUGGGGGAAACCCUGAUCCAGCAAUGCAGCGUGAGUGACGAAGGCCUUAGGGUUGUAAAACUCUUUCAUCGGUGAGGAUAAUGACAGUAGCCGAAGAAGAAGGACCGGCUAAUUCCGUGCCAGCAGCCGCGGUAAUACGGAAGGUCCUAGCGUUGUUCGGAAUUACUGGGCGUAAAGCGCAUGUAGGCGGAACAAAAAGUUAGAAGUGAAAUCCCUGGGCUCAACCUAGGAAUUGCUUUUAAAACUUUUGUUCUGGAAUUCAGGAGAGGAAAAUGGAAUUUCCAGUGUAGAGGUGAAAUUCGUAGAUAUUGGAAGGAACACCAGUGGCGAAGGCGAUUUUCUGGACUGAUAUUGACGCUGAGAUGCGAAGGCAUGGGUAGCAAACGGGAUUAGAUACCCCCGAGUAGUC